AUGCAACGCGAAGAACCUUACCUGGGUUUGACAUAUACCGGAAAGCUGCAGAGAUGUGGCCCCCCUUGUGGUCGGUAUACAGGUGGUGCAUGGCUGUCGUCAGCUCGUGUCGUGAGAUGUUGGGUUAAGUCCCGCAACGAGCGCAACCCUAUCUUAUGUUGCCAGCACGUUAUGGUGGGGACUCGUAAGAGACUGCCGGGGUCAACUCGGAGGAAGGUGGGGACGACGUCAAGUCAUCAUGCCCCUUAUGUCCAGGGCUUCACACAUGCUACAAUGGCCAGUACAGAGGGCUGCGAGACCGUGAGGUGGAGCGAAUCCCUUAAAGCUGGUCUCAGUUCGGAUCGGGGUCUGCAACUCGACCCCGUGAAGUCGGAGUCGCUAGUAAUCGCAGAUCAGCAACGCUGCGGUGAAUACGUUCCCGGGCCUU
RNAcentral lists this ribosomal RNA (427 nucleotides) under uncultured Rhodococcus sp. Its description in RNAcentral is "bacterial SSU rRNA". It matches the Rfam family "Bacterial small subunit ribosomal RNA", at positions 954 to 1382 of the family's 1533-position model. Lineage: Bacteria; Bacillati; Actinomycetota; Actinomycetes; Mycobacteriales; Nocardiaceae. The record is from RNAcentral.